CCUACGGGAGGCAGCAGUGGGGAAUUUUGGACAAUGGGGGAAACCCUGAUCCAGCCAUCCCGCGUGUGCGAUGAAGGCCUUCGGGUUGUAAAGCACUUUUGGCAGGAAAGAAACGUCAUGGGCUAAUACCCCGUGAAACUGACGGUACCUGCAGAAUAAGCACCGGCUAACUACGUGCCAGCAGCCGCGGUAAUACGUAGGGUGCAAGCGUUAAUCGGAAUUACUGGGCGUAAAGCGUGCGCAGGCGGUUCGGAAAGAAAGAUGUGAAAUCCCAGAGCUUAACUUUGGAACUGCAUUUUUAACUACCGAGCUAGAGUGUGUCAGAGGGAGGUGGAAUUCCGCGUGUAGCAGUGAAAUGCGUAGAUAUGCGGAGGAACACCGAUGGCGAAGGCAGCCUCCUGGGAUAACACUGACGCUCAUGCACGAAAGCGUGGGGAGCAAACAGGAUUAGAUACCCUGGUAGUCCACGCCCUAAACGAUGUCAACUAGCUGGUUGGGCCUUCGGGUCCUUGGUAGCGCGAGCUACGCGUGAGUAGACCGCCGUGGGAGGUACGGUCGCGAGAGUAAACUACAAUAGAGUUAGACGCGUGAGACGUGCCGACGGACGACGACGAGGGAGGAGG
This 623-nucleotide ribosomal RNA is filed under the name uncultured bacterium. RNAcentral's name for it is "bacterial SSU rRNA". The stretch from base 1 to 542 matches the Rfam family "Bacterial small subunit ribosomal RNA", at positions 338 to 873 of the family's 1533-position model. The record is from RNAcentral.